CAGGUACGUUAAUAGCGUGCUUGUUUGACGUUAGCUGCAGAAGAAGCACCGGCUAACUCCGUGCCAGCAGCCGCGGUAAUACGGAGGGUGCGAGCGUUAAUCGGAAUUACUGGGCGUAAAGCGCAUGCAGGUGGUUUGUUAAGUCAGAUGUGAAAGACCCGGGGCGUCAACCUCGGAAUUGCAUUUGAAACUGGCAGACUAGAGUACUGUAGAGGGGGGUAGGAAUUUCAGGUGUAGCGGUGAAAUGCGUAGAGAUCUGAAGGAAUACCGGUGGCGAAGGCGGCCCCCUCGGACAGAUACUGACACUCAGAUGCGAAAGCGUGGGGAGCAAACAGGAUUAGAUACCCUGGUAG
RNAcentral lists this ribosomal RNA (353 nucleotides) under uncultured bacterium. RNAcentral describes it as "bacterial SSU rRNA". It matches the Rfam family "Bacterial small subunit ribosomal RNA", at positions 444 to 793 of the family's 1533-position model. The record is from RNAcentral.